RNAcentral lists this transfer RNA (74 nucleotides) under Candidatus Magasanikbacteria bacterium RIFOXYC2_FULL_40_16. Its description in RNAcentral is "tRNA-Ile". It matches the Rfam family "tRNA". From Rfam's summary of the family: Transfer RNA (tRNA) molecules are approximately 80 nucleotides in length. The record is from RNAcentral. Lineage: Bacteria; Candidatus Magasanikiibacteriota.
GGGCGACUAGCUCAGUUGGUUAGAGCGCAACACUGAUAAUGUUGAGGUCUCAGGUUCGAUUCCUGAGUCGCCCA